This 127-nucleotide small RNA is filed under the name Marmota monax (woodchuck). Lineage: Eukaryota; Metazoa; Chordata; Mammalia; Rodentia; Sciuridae. The record is from RNAcentral.
GCUGAGUGCAGUGCCUCAUACCUGUAAUCCCAGCAACUUAGGAGGCUGAGGCAGGAGGAUCACAAGUUCAAAGCCAGCAUCAGCAAUUUAGCAAGGCCCUAAGCAACUUAGUGAGACCCUGUCUCAA